This 510-nucleotide ribosomal RNA is filed under the name uncultured bacterium. RNAcentral's name for it is "partial 16S ribosomal RNA". It matches the Rfam family "Bacterial small subunit ribosomal RNA", at positions 28 to 507 of the family's 1533-position model. The record is from RNAcentral.
GACGAACGCUGGCGGCGUGCUUAACACAUGCAAGUCGAACGAAGAGCGAUGGAAGCUUGCUUCUAUCAAUCUUAGUGGCGAACGGGUGAGUAACGCGUAAUCAACCUGCCCUUCAGAGGGGGACAACAGUUGGAAACGACUGCUAAUACCGCAUACGAUCUGACCUCGGCAUCGAGAAUAGAUGAAAGGUGGCCUCUACAUGUAAGCUAUCACUGAAGGAGGGGAUUGCGUCUGAUUAGCUAGUUGGAGGGGUGACGGCCCACCAAGGCGAUGAUCAGUAGCCGGUCUGAGAGGAUGAACGGCCACAUUGGGACUGAGACACGGCCCAGACUCCUACGGGAGGCAGCAGUGGGGAAUCUUCCGCAAUGGACGAAAGUCUGACGGAGCAACGCCGCGUGAGUGAUGACGGCCUUCGGGUUGUAAAGCUCUGUUAAUCGGGACGAAAGGCCUUUUUGCGAAUAGUGAGAAGGAUUGACGGUACCGGAAUAGAAAGCCACGGCUAACUACGUG